UUCAACAAUGAAGAGUUUGAUCCUGGCUCAGGAUGAACGCUAGCGGCAGGCCUAACACAUGCAAGU
Molecule: ribosomal RNA, 66 nt
Filed under: Bacteroidota bacterium
Lineage: Bacteria; Pseudomonadati; Bacteroidota
Description: Bacteroidetes bacterium partial 16S ribosomal RNA
Rfam family: Bacterial small subunit ribosomal RNA
Source: RNAcentral